Non-coding RNA from Mycena amicta, 93 nucleotides. The record is from the annotation of a GenBank genome assembly. Lineage: Eukaryota; Fungi; Basidiomycota; Agaricomycetes; Agaricales; Mycenaceae.
ACACGCAUGGUGAAACGGUAUCAUGCUUGCCUUCCAUAAAUUCAGAGUCGAACCAGUUAGCAAGCGGCAGGGGUUCGACUCCCCUUGUGUGUA